GAUGAACGCUGGCGGCGUGCCUAAUACAUGCAAGUCGAGCGAACAGACGAGGAACUUGCUCCUCUGACGUUAGCGGCGGACGGGUGAGUAACACGUGGAUAACCUACCUAUAAGACUGGGAUAACUUCGGGAAACCGGAGCUAAUACCGGAUAAUAUAUUGAACCGCAUGGUUCAAUAGUGAAAGACGGUUUUGCUGUCACUUAUAGAUGGAUCCGCGCCGCAUUAGCUAGUUGGUAAGGUAACGGCUUACCAAGGCAACGAUGCGUAGCCGACCUGAGAGGGUGAUCGGCCACACUGGAACUGAGACACGGUCCAGACUCCUACGGGAGGCAGCAGUAGGGAAUCUUCCGCAAUGGGCGAAAGCCUGACGGAGCAACGCCGCGUGAGUGAUGAAGGUCUUCGGAUCGUAAAACUCUGUUAUUAGGGAAGAACAAAUGUGUAAGUAAGUAUGCACGUCUUGACGGUACCUAAUCAGAAAGCCACGGCUAACUACGUG
RNAcentral lists this ribosomal RNA (497 nucleotides) under uncultured bacterium. RNAcentral's name for it is "partial 16S ribosomal RNA". It matches the Rfam family "Bacterial small subunit ribosomal RNA", at positions 28 to 507 of the family's 1533-position model. The record is from RNAcentral.